This 550-nucleotide long non-coding RNA is filed under the name Anas platyrhynchos platyrhynchos (common mallard). RNAcentral's name for it is "lncRNA (ENSAPLG00000025929.1)". Lineage: Eukaryota; Metazoa; Chordata; Aves; Anseriformes; Anatidae. The record is from RNAcentral.
UUUAUCAUGUGAUGUACCUCAAAGAAUAUGAAUGUUGAACACUCAGACAUGAGAUCAUCUCAUCCAGGUGCAUAACGUAGAAAAAUCUCUCUCAUUCCAGGAAACUAAUGUGUUUUGCUCCUUAGGCAAGUCUGAAACUACAGAAACGGAACAGAGAACAAGCUGAAAGAAACAAAAACUCCACACAAGGGAAAAACAAAGCAAGGAAAUCUGAAGUUCCAUCUUUGCUACAGACCUCCUCAAAAAACAGUUAUGGAAGGAAACGUGGAUCUGUCACCAAAUCUAGAAACAAACAUGACCUUAAGUUUCCUGUUAUAGACAACCUAUCAGUCAAGCAGAAGUUGAAACACAACAUAACCUAUAAAAAAAAAAAAAAAAGAGAAAAGGGUGCAUGACCCAAAUAAAGCCACCUCAGGGCGCAGGCAAAGUUUUGCAGGCAUGUUCACAAGGCUUUUAAUGAGCACAGGAUCGAGUCUUUAUUUCAUCCAACUUUGCAAUUGGUGGAGAUAAAACGGGUAAUUUAAAAUAAAUUAUUUGAGUUUAAAAUACA